Long non-coding RNA from Numida meleagris (helmeted guineafowl), 9941 nucleotides. RefSeq lists it as uncharacterized. The transcript is spliced from 14 exons. The record is from RefSeq and is a predicted model, not a curated record. Lineage: Eukaryota; Metazoa; Chordata; Aves; Galliformes; Numididae.
AACUGUGUAGAUGUGGCACUGAGGGAGAUGGUUAGUGGGCAUGGUGGGGAUGGAUGGACUAGAUGAUCUUAGCAGCCUUUUCCAAACAAUGAUUCUAUGAUUCACUGCUUAAUACAAAACAUCUUAAUCUAUUGCUCGGGGGGAAGGCUGAUAUCAGCUGACAGAGCUGGUCUGUGCUAUUCUGAGAAGACUAUUGUCAUCCUAGAAGGUUGCAAAGGGGCAAGGUUGAAUCAGCAGUUGGUUCUUUGGAAAAAAAAAAUGAUGAUUUGUGAAUGUUUUCUUACAUUAGGAGUGCUAGGAGACUGAGAUGGCAGCAAGAGAAGAGGCAAGUAAAAUGGAAAGGUCUUGAACACCUUUAAGUCCAUGCUCUCUUGUUCAUGCUCUUUUUAAUGAGCAGCAACUAAAAUUCCAGCACUUCCUCUGUAAAUCCUUUUGAUUUCGAAAUGAAUCACUCUCCACAGGUUUGCUGGGAACUUAGUCUUCUGUGCUUGCUUCACUCCUUUGCUGGUAGCAGUGCUGGUAGACUGGAGCAGCCAGACGUACUCCUACGAGAGCCACCUGCUCUGCUGCGAUCCUUGCUUUGCUAAAGCCACCAGCAUCUUCAUCUGUAGGGUAACUCCCUCAUGUCGGACUUGGCUCCUCUCUUAGAAGUGUAACAGUUUGCUGAGCCAUUUGGUUAAGCAGCUCUUAGUAGCAUUAGGGAAGCUGACACAUGCAGCUGGGGAGCAGACAGAUGUGUGUUCAAGUGGCAUGGCUGUGUGCCCUUUUGUGCAGUUAUUUUCUACCUUGCAUGGGCUUCUGGGGCAUGCACUGUGCAGCUGACAAAGCCCUUGAACAUUUAGCAUUGCCACAGAAGGUUUAGCAAGGAAAAUGUACUAGCCCAAGUCACAGGCUGAAAUGAGAUACUGUGGGAGAGGUGACUAUUAUGGUCCAGCACUUAUUAAAAACCAUUCUGAGACCUGCAAGGUAUUGUGCUGUGCUUGUUGGAUUUAAGACUGCCAGGCAGCAGCGAAGGUCACUUUGUGCCUUCCUCUUUAAAGCAAAUUGCUGCUGUUUCUAUUAACAAGGGAGCAGCAGUGCUGGCAAACUCGAGGCAAGUUAACCCCUGCCUCUCAUGAGGAGCCGGUCUGAUGGAUUCCCCUAGGAUGUGUGUGCGUGUUGAGAGCUGUAUACCAUGUAGGUGUCAAGCCCAAUCUGAGCUCCCUUGUCAUGAUGUGUUAGGGCAGCUGUCUGCUAUUUGUGUGACAGUGCACAUCUUUGCCAAUAAACUGCUUUUGCUCUGGGUUGUGCUGUGUCUGCGGGGCUACCGGGAAAGCUGCCAGGGAGAGAGUGACUGCUUGCACUGAGGUGUCUGGGCAGCACCUCUUGUAAUCCGUGUUCUGUGUGGCGUAUUGAUUGGGAUUGUGGAUGGGCCCUGAGGGAUGAACACCAACACCAAGUUCCAGAGCCUGACUUUUUAAUCAGCAACAGAUUUAGCAGCUGGGAGCAGCUGGGUAAUGUCUGCUUAGGAAAAAGCAAUUGCACCAGAUGAAGCCAAAAACAGUAAGGUGAUUAUUGCUUUAGCAGCUAUACGUAACUAAAUGUAGGAUAGAAAUGCCUAUGGCAGAACGGAGAGCACUUUGAAGUAAAGGUGUAGGGUUGGAAAAAGACCAACCCAGAAACAACAGGGAAGGUUAUCCUGUAACAAGCUGUGUAGCACUGAGGAUUACCCUUCCCUUGGUGAAACCAGGGAUCCCAAUACAGCUCUGUUCACCUUGACAGUGGUCGUGGUAGGUGACUUUCUACCUGCAAAAUAGAAAGCACCACUUACAGGUGUGAAGGAUGCUGAGCCGGGUCCAGAGGAAGACUUGAAAGAGUAUUCAUCUGCCAUAUUUAAGAAGACAGAAAACUGCAGAAGUUAUUCCCAAAGUGCUGUCUGUCUUCUAACUGCUGGCCAGCUCCUUUUGUGAAAAGAGAUGUUUAAAAUGAGAAAAGCACUACAUCAGAGUUGAGAAAAAGGAAAACCGGUCAAUGUCACCUUGGUAUCUGAUGAUCAAAGGAGUAAACCAAGUAAGGCCAGGACUGUCAGAGAACCAACGAGACAGUAGAAAAUGAAGGAACAACCAUAUUGCGCUCUACAGCUCCCUGAAAAGAGGUUAUAGCGAGACAAGAGCAAAGCCAAACAAGGGAGCAGCUAAGUACAUAGAACAUAUACUUUCAGCUGUUACCCAUCGUUUCUGGAUUUAGGCAAGUUAAAGUCAAGAACUGUUCUGUGGUGUUGGAUAAGAAGAAGGGUCCCAACUCUAUUAAUGUCUUCUCUGGUCCCAUCUAUGGCUUUACUCUGCAAAACUCUUUCUGUUCUGGAUUUGGGACUUCGACAACUACAGAAUCCUGUUGGUCUUUUCAUCCCUGUGCUGUUCAGUGGCCUCUACUGGAGGCAGCAGGAAGAACUCUGAUGCCUCUUCAAUUAAUUGCCAAAAUAUGUGGGAAAAGCAACAAAGAAGAUGUGAAGUCUGAAGAUCACUGCAGGGAGGAUGUGUUGAAUCUUACUAUAGACCUUGAAGGGAAAUCUGAACCUGCUCAGGAAUUAUGAGCUCUUGAACUCUGACUGAUCUCCUCCAGUAGAUUUGCUUUUAGAGAAUAUUGUUUGAGUUGUGAUAUUGGGUUUUGAAUGCUCUGUAGCUCAUCUAAAAAAACUGCUCAUCUGAGCGGACUGACAAUGUAUAUUUUGAAAUAAUGACUGGUCAAAGAGGAGUAUCAAUGCAUUUGAAGGAGCAAAGUGUGAAAGAUUUCAGCAGGAAGAAGCUUGAUCUCAGGAAAUUGAUGUAUUCCACGUUGGAUACUGCACUGCACCUCCAGUUUAGACAGAAGAGGAGUUGUGUUAGCAAAUGCUCAACCAAAUGUAAAAACAUUGCUAAAGUAAUGGACUCCAACAAAGAUCCGAUUUUACUUUGGGGAGAUAAAUGGUGACAUACUGGGAAGACCGUGCUGUGGAAGCGGUGAAGCUGAUACCUUUGUUCAGCGUCUUGCUUUUCUCUUUUCAUGCUAAGCAUACAGCUACAGAGCAGCACGACAUGCUGUGCUGUCCGUGCACAGCGUUAUCCGCCGUGCAGUGGGAGAAAAUUGAUCUUCAGAAAAGUGAAUUGGAGCUGCAGCUUUCCUGCUGUGGGAGAACCCAGGCUAUGUGGGACGUGUUCAGGCUUUUGUUGUUUUUGUUGUUGCCAUGAUAAAAGAAGAGCAGCAUUACAUGAAGGAAGUGCAGUUAAACCAGACUUGAGAAAUUCCAUGCUUUAAGAACAUGACAUCAAGAAACUUUUCCAAUUAUGCUUUGAAAUGGAUAGUGCUGCAGCAAGUUAAAAUGUUUGUAAAUAACUCUGUAGUUCUUUGGAAGAAUUUGAGGCCAUUCUUGAAAUUUCUGGGGUCAAAAAUAUUCACUCUACUCCAUCAAGGGCAUAUCAACACCACUGGCGUGCAAAUUGCCACCAACUCAGCCAUAUGUAUAAGCUUGUGUUGGCACAGUGCAGUUUACAGGAAUCACUCUGCAACUGCUGAGGCACAACUUGGUAGAAGUAAUGCUGCAUAUGGAAAACAAGGCUGUAAUUUCUGCUUAUACAGCAGUGGGUCUGAAAAACAAAUUUCCAACCCUCCUAAAGUGAAGUGGGUGUCAAACAAUGGGACUGUCAACAAUACUUUGACUGUAGUUGCUUACUUGAGGAAGCCCAUGGCUCAGAGAUGGCACAGUAAUGCAAGGCUGGCGCUCAGGAUGCAAAGGAAGAUUCAACAGGGAAAAGCAGAAAAAAAUAAAAAAUAAGCCUCUGUCUGGGGGCUGUCAGUCAUAGAUGCAAGAGAAAUAAAAAUAGAAGUUAAUGAUCUGAGAUUUCGUCUUGGGUUUGCAUGAUUCAAACAUGAGUCUUAUAAAAAAUCAACAGUUGUCAAACAGCUACAAAUGUUACCUGGGUAAUCAUUCAAGUAUACUAAGAUAUUUGAACUCUCCCUGUCCUCUGCCUCUGCUGAUGCUCUUUGCCUUGGUUUGUAUAUCAGUUAACCAAACUGGUUGCUUUAUUUGGCUUAUUCUCUGAAUUACUGUGUCAUGUGUGACUCUCUGUGCAUGCACCCCCACCAGCUGAUUAGUACAAGAGGGGAGAGAUACAAACAGGAGAAAGAAACCACAGCCUUUGCUGUUGGGUUUCUCUAAGCAUCCCAUGAUGCUCCUGGAAACUGCUGGCUGGCCUCUGAUAGUGGUGCUGGGCCAUCAGCCUCUAGCAGUGCUCUGAGUGCAGGGUUUGGUGGAGCAGCUCUCUGAGAAGUGCUGAGGCAGCCUUCUCAGACCUUGGGCCAACAGAACCCAGAUCCUGGAGGAAAUGUAGUUGUAUGCUCCAAGCCCCUUCAUUGAAUCUCAGCCCAUUCAUUAGCAAGGCAGGAGGUGAGGAACAACAAGUGUAGGGACCCCACAGGCUGGGCAGCAUGAACAUAGCAGAGACAAACCAGGUCUGAGGGACAGCAGUGACACUUCCUCACAGAUGGCCUGGAUAUGACCGAGUGCGCAGUAGAAGGGUGGGGAGUGCAAGUGAGAGUCUCUCAAUGAAGUUGAGAGUCUUGAUAGGUUGAGUAGAAGAUGGUGUUCAUCAAAUCAAGAGAGCUUUUCUGAAGAGGGUACUUUUGGGCUGAAAUGCUUAAAAAUAUGUCUUUCCUAGAAUGGAGCCCUUUUAGGUACAAAUUUCUGAGAAAAUGUGUGGUCUUUUCAAAUCUAACUUUGCCAGACAUUGAUUUCUUCUUUUUGUAAAGGCUCAGCAACAGAAACUGCUAUACUAAAUAUCAAAUUUCCGCUAGACCCAAACCAUUGGUAAAGGCAAAUGAAUGUCAAACAGUUAACAGAGUCUGAGCUGUUAAAUGAAAAGGAACUACUUGGUAAUUCAGAGCUGUGCUUGAGAGCUGCCUUGCAGAAUAGUUACGCAGCAAACAUAUCUUCUGAAAAAGCAAAGGCUAGCAUCCAACACAGAAGUGGAGAUACAUACCUAUUCUCAUCAAAACCCCAAAGGAAGAACCGAAUUCAAUAUUAUUUAGUCUACCAGCCAACUUUCAGUUCAUCUUAGAAAACCCACUUUCACAAUAUGUUUUCUUACAUCUGAAAAUAUAUAUCUGUCCUCUGACAGCCUCACUAGCACUUGUACUGUCUUGGAAAGGCAGAAAUCUUAAGAUGUUCAUUUUCUGAUAAGGAGAAUCCUUCAAACAAAAAGCAGAAAGGAAAGAAAGGAAAAAAAAAAAGUAAAUUCCACCCAAAAUGUACCCUAAGUCCAGAAAGACACAGGGCCAUGAUUAUUAAAUAUAGGUGUCCUGGUUUCGGCUGGGACAGAGUUUAUAUUCUCCACAGCAUCUGGUAUGAUGCUAUGUUUUGGCUUUAGGAGAAAAACACUGUUGAUAACACACCAGUGUUUUACUUGUUGCUGAGCAGUGCUGUACAGAACCAAGGACGUUCUGGUUUCUCAGCUCUUUAUGCUGUCUUGUCAGAUAGAGGGGGGGCACAGGGAGCUGGGAGGGGACAGAACCAGGAGAGCUGACGUAAACUGGCUAAAGGGAUAUUCCAUGCCACAUGACAUCAUGUAGAAAAACUAUAAAACUGAGGGGUUUGGUCAAGAAGGGCAGCCACUGCAUGGAGUCUUGCUGAUCUGUGGGUGGUGAGCUACUGCAUCAUACAUAAUUUGUUUUGUAAAUAGAUACACGUAAUUAUCAUUACUAUUAUUUCUCUCUCCCUUUUCUGUCUUAGUAAAUAGUUUUUAUCUAAACCCACAUGUUCUACUUCUUUUUUUCCCUGAUUCUCUCCCCCAUUCCACUGGGAGGGGAGGGAGUGGUCAAUAGGCUGUGUAGUGUUUAGUUGCCUGCUGGGUUAAACCACACCAAUAGGUCAAUCCAGGCAUAACCAGUCAGUAACACUAGGCAGAAAAGUGGAAAUUAGAAGAAGAGGGAGAGAGAAUCCUAGGUGGAUUGGCUAUAAAAAUGCCAGUGACGCCUGAAUUCAUUAAUUCAGGGAGGAAAGUAAAAAACUGAGGUGACCCUGUGUGGUUUAACAGGGUUAGAAAAAAAAAAUAAAAGCAAAUUAUAUAAAUGGUGGAGAUUUAUGUGAGAUUUAUGUUGGAAAGAGAAAGAAUUGCAGAUCUAAGUAAUCCGGGGUCUUCACUUGUUUCCAGUCCAGUUUUAAGGCUCAGAAGGGGCCAGAAACAUGACUUAUUCAAGGCUUUUGAGACAUGUAGUUACCACAGUUUCAUCAGUUCUUACUUAACACUCAACAUAGCUGCAAACCAAUGGCUAAAACAGAAAUGCCAGCAAAAAAAAAAAAGGCUUAUGGUGCCUGAUAGCUUGUAUCAACACAGUCAGCUGUGCCUGGAACUGAAAUGCUGUGCAAACAAAAUAAAAUAAUAAAACACAUUUUCCAUUUCUUGUGGUCAUCAGAAACGUACUGCUUUGAUGCAAAGGUGAGGUUUGGGCUCCUUGGCCACACAGGAAAUGUCUGUGGUGUGACAUUGUCACACAGCUGUCCAGAUAACAGAAUAUGAGAAGUUGGUUACUCACCAUCAACAGACAUUUAGGGGGACAGCAGGCAAUGGCUAAAGCUUUUGCAGAUAGUUUUGACUGGCAGACACCUGGAGGAACCAACAGGUGAAACUGAUGCCCUGCUGUCAGCUGUGAUAGCAGGAUGGUUUUAGCUAGCUUUAAUAAAGCCACCCAGGCAUACUUUGAAAGGUAGAGAGAUGCAUCACAGAUCUUGCGGUAGUAGCUACUGAUACAUGCUUCCAAACUACUUCCUUGACCUCAAAUUGGAGUGCGCAAGGUUUUUAUCUUGCCAGCUUACCCUGCAAUUUCUGCUAGCCUUCAGGAGGGAUCAGCUGGCACCUUGCAAAUGUUGAGCUUGCACACCAGCUGCAAGUCACUCGGCUACUCUCAGUGACUCACAUCCCUUCUGAGCAAUUCCAGUCCCUCUAGCAGUACUCUGCUUCUGUGAGCACAAAUGAGAGCUAGCUGAGGGAUUCUCCAUGAGGUGGUCAUGUCUGACCUUGCCUUAGACUUGAAGACAGGAUGGAGAGGCUGUGAGUGGUCAGUGGUCAUGCAGGGGGCUGCAGGUACUGAACUGAAGGAUGUGGAAGCCCAUUAUUCAGCCUGUCCCAAAGCAGUGAUGGGGAUGUCCCUUGGCUUUCCUUCAACGAUGUCUCCAAUCAGAAAUAUGGGGAAGAAAUGCAAUAAAGAGGAAGGAAGCGCUUCCUUGCCAAGCAGAAUGAAAUGUCUGUUGAAGAAGAUGCACAAGACAGUGAAGGUUUCUAUCAUCAGAUCUGUACUUGAUGUUACAAGGGACCCACAAGGCACAUAUGACAUUGUCGUGUGCAUGUCUGUUUUCCUUCCUUGGGAACGAAAUAUAGAGUAUUUCAUGAGAAGAAACAAUUUUUUCCUUUGGUGAGGUUUUUCAUAGAUAAGACACAUCUGAAAUGUCAAGAACACUAAACGCAUGCAUACUCUGUUAUUUAAAAUACUGAAUAAAUGGUAGAUGUAUGGAAGUAUUGUACACAUUGAUCACACAGCUUGAACUUUCUUUCUAGCAGAUUUCUUAGUUCAAGUCUCUAAAUGAGCCAAGAAACCUGCCAAAAAUACCUGAGUAAACUCAACUAGUUAAGAAACUUCUACACAAACAAAAGAUGCUUGCUAUUGUUAGGCAGUAUCUUGCUUCAAUUACUAUAUCCAGAAGUACGCUCACUUAGCUAUACAGCACUGGUGAGCUGUUACAACUAUGCAUUUCUCAGCGAGUAAUCCCGCAGUGUGGCUGGCAAGAAGUGCAGAAUGACUUCCUUUAGCACCCUCUUGUGCAUGCCUCAUAUUCAGGUGUAAAUGCACAGUUAAACCUUUUUUUCUUCUAAUGUGUAUACUCCUUGUGCAUUAACAAUAUAAUUGAACUGCUGGACUCUGAGCAGCCUUUAUUGGUACACCAGGUGAAGUGGUAACUACUUGCACCUGUAUUCCCUUUUUGGCUGUGGAUACACCUAUCAGUAUGUUUUUCAGCAAAGACUGCAUUGAAAGCCAAAGCUCAGUCCUCUUGAAAUAUAGCUUCAGAGGGAGGGAAGAUAAAUGAUCAUUUUUCUCCAAAAUGACUCAUUUCACACAAUUUGCGGUUUAGUAGAAAUGUAUUCAAAUGAGAGAGCCAUCAAUUAAAGAAGUCUACAUUCUUGCCUGUGGGCUAUACUAAGAUAGCUCCACUCUGUAUAAAAAUGUUAAUGUAUUUAGAUGUGACAGAAAGGAGGGAAAUUACAUUAAUUUUUGGCUGUGUUCUGUGAAGGUGCUAUACUAAUGCACAGUAAGACACAAACCCCAAACUAAACUUUCAGCCUUUGUUUAAAAAAAGAAAAAAGCCUCACUUCUUAAAAGAACUACUUUCAUCUUUUUCCACCCCUCACAGACAAUAUAUCUAAUGAAGCCUCAGCCCGAGCUUUUACCAUGAUGGCUUCAGAAGGUAGAACAAAUUAGAAAACAAAAUAACUUGUGUAAUGUUAGGGGUGCAUCUACAAUUUUUUAAAGCUAUUAGAGAAAUGAUCUUGCAAUAGUAAGGUAUCCUUCUGUUUGCAUAGUAAGGUAUUCUUCUCUGCUGCCACGACUUCAGAGCAAAUACAAUGAAGAGAUAAUCUAGUGAUGUAAUCCAUCAUAGCUAAACCCAAACAUAACUAAACUGUAGCCUUGAGGAGCACUUUAUGUUAUUCCUUACACUUUAGCUGGCAUUUGAAUAUAGCUCUUUCAGCACUGAGCUGGUAAUUAAAAAUAACAUCCCUACUAAUGGUUCAACAUUUUGCUUAAGGAAACAACCAACAUCCUCAACAUUUCCACCUAAUUGAGGAACUGAUGGAAUGUUUCUUAAUUUGGGUAAAUUUGGAAAAUCUAUGCUCUGUCUCCACAAGUUCUUCUUAUUCUCAGCUUACUGCAGCUAAAUAAAGAGUUUUCCCUACACCUCGGGGGAAGUCCUUUGGAGAUGACUCUCCUUGGGUGUCUGGCUUUGCUCUGUACAGGAUACAGCUGUGUUCCAGCAGCGUGUUAUGUGAGCACAUCAGAGAAAUGCUGUAGAUAAAUGGCAAGGAAGGACGUGUGUCUUUCUACAUAAGCCUCCUCUUACUUGGGAUGUAAAUGCUGCUUGGGAAGUACAAUAUCUCUGCUGUGUUUGGCUGACUGGUGAACAGAUCUUGGAUUGUAAGGAACCAAAUCACUUCUCUCAACUUCCUUGAGGACUCAAUGAGCACUUUUCAAUGCAGUGUCCUGACAUUUCCUGCCAGAGUUGCAGCCUCUGGAAUGCCCCAGGGAUGGAGCCAGGCAGGUGCCACCACCAGGUCAUAUAUGCUACUUCAACCUGCAUGCUGAUAAGCCACAUCUGUUUGUAUGGGUUAAAACCAUGUAGCUCACUGCUUCUCUUUGGGUGAGGUACAUACUGGAGGUGUCAGGAGCUUCAGACCCUUUAGCCCAAAAACCUUCCCUACAGAUUACACAGUCCUGUUACUUCAGCUGCUUCUUGUUUCUUGCCAGACCACCUGGCUGGGUUGUGCACUGAAAGAUUACUUGGAAAUUAAGUGUGAUGCACUCUCUCUCACCUUUAAGCCCUUGAAUGAUCCUCUUUUUUAAAGAGGAAUAAAUACACUUUUCACCCUUAGCAAAGGUGUUUGCUUAGAUUUGUUAUAGACCUUGGAAAUUCAGUACUUCUAUCAGCUGUCAUGACUACCUCAAGUAAGAAAAAAUUUUAAAAGCCUUUCUUAUUACUCAGUCAAUAGGGAUAUGAUCUCUGCUUGACCUGUACUUAAAUGCCGUGUACACAGAGCCAGAGGCAUACCAGUGAGAGGUCAGCAUGCCCUGCACUGGCAGUACCUGUAGUGCUCUUGGAUGGGAAUUUGUGAGCUGUGAAAUCAUUUAGGAAGAGAGCUAACACAAAUCUUGCUAAAGCUCUG